Molecule: long non-coding RNA, 5339 nt
Organism: Mus musculus (house mouse)
Lineage: Eukaryota; Metazoa; Chordata; Mammalia; Rodentia; Muridae
Product: predicted gene 13782
Exons: 6
Source: RefSeq, a predicted model, not a curated record
AGCAAAAUACAACAUGCAUUUCUGUGGGUUCACUUUGCUCUCUUUGAGCUACACAUUUUCUCCAGUUAUCAAGUUAUAUGGUAUCACUUUCAAGUUAUGAGUGUGCUUUUACACAGAUCAUUUGGUUUUCACGGUGUGCUCAGAAGAGGAAAGGUGAUGUUUUCUCCAUCCUCCCGUGCCUCGGCUGACUGGGGAGCCUGCCUUCCUCUAAGCUGCCUCCGCCAUGGCAUGGCCACAUUGUGUGGUGUGCAUUCUUGUGAGCUGCCUCAAAUCCUUGGCAGAACAGAGCAAGGGAUAAAUGUCUACAUUUUACAAAUGAUGACAGAGACUAGGAGAAGCUGAGUUGCCUCAGGCCAAACAGCUGCUAAGGCAUUUAUACCCUGCCGUUCUGACUCUGACUUCAAAGAGAGCAAUCAUUUUAUCCUGUGGUUGUAAACUAUGCCAGAGACCCGAAACAUCACAAGUGUGUGUCUAUGUGUGGGUGUUCUGGGAGGUACAUCCUACAACAACAAGAACAUACAACAGUUCUGCAGUAACUGCCCACUUAAAAAUGAUUUGGAUGGUAAAUUAUGUUUUGUAUUUUUACCACAACGAAAAUCAAAUCAAAUCAAAACCAAUCUAAGCAAUCAGUAUUCGCUCAGUAUCAUCUUUAUAGUUUUGAAAUAUAACUCAAAUGAGGGUGCUUCUACUGUUAUAGCAACAGCUCUUUGCAUCAGCCAGGCAUAGUAGAACACUGUAACUCCAGCAUCUGGGAGGCAGAGGCAGAAGAAUCCUGAGUUCAAGACCAACCUGAACUAACAGCAAGACCCUGUCUUCAAACAAAGAAAAAAUACAUCUUCGUAUCUCAGCGAAUAAACAUGAGAACUCAACCUCACCUUUCUAAUAUCUGCUCUGAAGACUCUCAGCAGAAGCUCACUUCCUGAAAAUUUUCUAACAAUGAUGCUAAUUUUAAAGAGUACAUUGCUGAACUCUGCCCGCCUUUAUCCUUCCUUCCCGUUCAUGGUGUUUACACUGGUGCCCAGGACUCCUUAAAGAGCACCUCAUUAUUUCAGAAUUACUAAAGGUUAGCUGGAUAAUUGCCAUGGCCUUCACAGACUGUCUCAUUGACCAGGACUCCUAGCAACAAAGGAAAGGGUUAAAGGUGGUUAAGAUCAUUUACUUGGUGUUACUAAUCAGUUCCAUGAAUUCCCCCAAAACUCAGCACAAACCGGAUGGUUGCUUUGGAGGGUAAUCUAAGCCUGAUUUACCAAAUAUUUUAAUAAUUAGAGUCAGGAAAUAAUACUACCUUAAAACUAGCCAUCUGUUAAAUAUAGUACGGCUCCUUCUUGCAGGGAAUUAAAACUUCUCUAUUUUAAAAUGUCUUGAAGAGAGCAAUUUGGCAAGUAGACUAUUAUUUCUAGAAAGUUCUUAGAGCAGCUUCUGCUGGAUAAAAUAGUUAAUAAAUGUGCCUGGAUGCAAAUCCCAACAGGCUGAGUAGAGUCCUUAAAAGAACAAGCAAGUUGCCACAACAUUUCCUCCAAAUUGCUACCAACCUGCCCACCCAAAGUCAUUUCUGUAAAUCAAAAUAGCAAUAAAUUAGAAAAUGGAGAGCCAAUAUCUUUCAAGGAGCUUGGAUUUUGACAUCUAUCCAUCGGUACUCUUUUGGAAUCAUUACAUAGCUUGAAAUACCUUUAAGUAUAAAAAGUAUGCAUUAAAAUCCCCUCUAGCUAAGCAGAGAUUAUACAGGGUAAAUACCAUGCGUUGCUAUAGUCUGCAGACGGUCUUCUGCACAGCCCUUGAGCCCACCACAUCAUGUAGCCUGGGCAUCACGUACCUGGUUCUGGCUGAGGAGAGCCGUCAAUGGGACUGUCAGACAUGGUUACUCAAGUCAAAGCCUUAUGCGGAGUUUUAAAUUUUAUAAAAAAGGAAGGCUUGGACAACUCUGUUAGUCUGUCCUCUCAAGAAAGAACUCGGCUUUAAGAAUGGGGCUUCUGCUUCCUGGGCUCCUCUCAGACUCUGCAGGACACAGAUCACCCCAGCUCAGGUACACGAUCGAGUUGUGCUUCUCUAGUGAGUGGAGGGGCUGAGUCAGCCUCUCUCGAGUUACUGGAAGGACAGAGACCUGACUAUCUAGGAUGUUUCACACUGGGUCCAACUAGUGUCAUCUAACCACCAGGCCCCAAGAGUGGGCUUUGUUAAUGGUCAAUAGCAGAGAGCAUCGUUUUCUCCAGGUACAGCCCAAAGAAUGUUCCGGUUACAAAGGACUCCGCAUUUCCAGGGUUCUGUCAAAGCAAGUUACUAGCAAAGAAAAGGAAGUUGAACUCACAGAGGAAGACAAAUCAAAAAGAGUAACAGAACAAGGUUUGUGAUUUCACAGUGUGGCAUCUGAGGUGAGGACUGCAAAGAGCUGGGUCUAGGAUGUCAAGAAACAAGGCAGCAUUCUCCUCCCUCCAGACCCUAGAGAACACUUGCAACAGAAAAUGAGGGGGAAUGUAGGUGCCAAACCUGAAUCUAAAGUGCUUUUGUCGGGAUGAACACAAAGCAUCAGGGGGAGGUGACUUCUAAGGGAGGAAGGAGGGGGGGAAUAUGUUCAAGGGUUCGAUUCCAAGAAUGGUUCUUUGCAGGACACAGUCUCCAUUUAAAGUCAGAGACUCUGAAAACCACAUUGUACUCAUAAGAAAUGUUUUAAAACAAGGUUUAGCUGAUCUGAGUGCAACAGGCCAUUUCUUAUGGGACAACUUCCUGGUAAGGACAUGUGAGCUCACAUCUAGCUUCAGAUGAAAGGAGCUGAAGGAGCACACAAGCCCCUGACAGAAGCAGGCCAGCUGGGUGCUGCCUGCCUCACGUGCACCGAGAAUGACGGCAGGGCAGUGUCGAAUUGUAAUUUCCCUUCCAAGAAGAUGCAUGUUAGCAGAGCCAACUCCUGAACUGAGCCUUUCGCUCCUCUCCAGGUAUGGAGAAGACAGUGGAGAGUUUCCACAGGGCUUCAGUUGGAGAGAGGAGACACUGAGGACUGCCCCCAGGCCCUGUGACCGACUCAGAGACACUAAAAAACGUUGGCUGGGUGGAACAGACUACAAAACUCUGCUGUCUUAAAAGUCCUUAGGCACUGAGGAUUGAACCCAGAGCUUCUCACAUGCCAGGAGACUCUCAGCCCCACCAUCUGUCACUUCAAUUACCUGAAAGGGAAGGACAACCCCUCCUCUUAACACUGAGCACCACUCCUCUGCUACAACUUGCAUGCACUAAGCGGACCUGCCCUCAGAAAAAAUGGGGGAAAACCCGUUUCUCAUUGUGAUCUGUAAUGGCUGCCUAGAAGAGCAAGCCACUGUGAUGUCAGUUUCAAUACCUUCCCAAGACAAAGAUGGUGAAAGAAUGGAAUACAAUCAUGGAGAAAGACUUAGGUGGCGUUUCCAGAGGCAGACAAUAUCAUGAAAAAUUAAAUAGUGAACUAAGUCCAGCAAAAUCUCUCUCUCUCUCUCUCUCUCUCUCUGUCUCUCUCUCUCUCUCUCUCUCUCUCACACACACACACACACACACACACACACACACUGUUUCACUUAUCUUACGCUGAGGGACUGUUCCCCCCCAGUCUAUAUUUUUAUCAUUUCUAUACCCUAUUUCCUGUUUUUUACUUUUGUUUUGUUUCUUAGCAGAGUUUCUUUUCAAAAAUUCCAGGCUGGUCUCUGCUGAACCAUGGAGAUUUGUCCAUACCUAAGCCAAAAUAGCUGAGAAGUGAGGGUGCCUCUGGGGAGCAGGUGUGGUGGGGCGGGAUGGUGCGGGAAGGGAGUGUGGACAGCUGCAGCUGCUGAGGCCUCCCCGCCCCCGGUUUUCCCUUACAUGGACUAAUGAGAAAUCCAUAUGCUGCCGGAGAAAAAUGUCAGGUUUCUUUCCAGACUUCUCGUUUCAGUUCACUUUCUCAGCCUGAUCUGGGACCCAAGUCGACAUUAAGCUCUGUGUGCUGCUUUGCCAGCAGAGUACCGCAGGCUCUAAAGAGGAGGCACACUUUCCUCCUGAAAACUCCUGCCUUGGAGAUGGCGGCUUCUUGACCUACUGACCAACUAACUGGCUUUGUUUGCAGGACAUACACAGGCUGGAAUGGUGGGGACUGAAAGUGCUGUGAGCAGAAGCUGUUUCAAAGAAGACUAGCCGUUCCUUCCACAAAGACUUAGUACAAGUCAUUCCAAGGACAUCUAUUCCUUGCCUAGUAGAAGUAGGUCCCUAUGUGGGACACAGAGGUAAAAACAGGCCUGGCUAUCAGCUCUUGCUCCCUGCCUGCCGAUAUAUAGGUGUCAACGUGAUGAACAGAGGGGGAUGGGAACUCAAGAGCAGUCCCUUAACAAGACCAAGGGUCAAGAACUGCCUCCUAGAAGGUAUCUGCUAAACCAAAUUCUGAAGGUCGUGGAGAUUAGUCAAGUGUCAAAAGUAGCAGUGGGCCCUCUAAGGCCCUGACAUACACAAGAGCAUGAAAACAACGUGCAGGUGACUUCUCAAGGAAUCUAGUGGUCAGUGGAAGGCAUGGGUACUGUGGGCUAUGAGAAAACAAAUGCCAUUGGAGAGCAGAGCCAGGGCGGGCAUCACAAAGGGCCUUUUAUCCAAAACACCUAAGGCACUUGCAUGGUGUCCUGUCAAUCAGUAGACUCUAAUAGAUGCGAUUUCACCAGCUCUGUGCCCAGGGACAUUUAUCAAGGUCUGGAGACAUUUUGGGUUGUCACAACAGAGUACUAGGGUGUACCCCUAGCAUUUCCUAGAAGAGACAAGAGACACUGGUCAACAUCCUAUAUCACUGAGCCAGUCCAGAUGUCAACAGUGUGGAACUUGAGGAGCCCAAGAGAAGAUGAUGGGAGGCCACUGAAGGAUUAGGAAGGAGUGGUGAGAUCUUAUUUAUCUUUUGGGAUGAUUGAUCUGCACAAUAUGGAGAAUAUGAUCAUAGUCAAGAAAAGAGGUAUAAUGCCGGGGCCUAGCAAACACAGAAGUGGAUGCUCACAGUCAGCUAUUGGAUGGAUCACAGGGCCCCCAAUGGAGGAGCUAGAGAAAGUACCCAAGGAGCUAAAGGGAUCUGCAACCCUAUAGGUGGAACAACAAUAUGAACUAACCAGUACCCCCCGGAGCUUGUGUCUCUAACUGCAUAUGUAUCAGAAGAUGGCCUAGCCGGCCAUCAGUGGAAAGAGAGGCCCAUUGGUCGUGCAAACUCUAUAUGCCUCAGUACAGGGGAACGCCAGGGCCAAGAAGUGGGAGUGGGUGGGUAGGGGAGUGGGGGAAGGGUAUGGGGGACUUUUGGGAUAGCAUUGGAAAUGUAAAUGAGGAAAAUACCUAAUAAAAAUUUAAAAAAAAAAAGAAAAGAGGUAUAAAAACCAGUU